RNAcentral lists this ribosomal RNA (394 nucleotides) under Azemiops feae. RNAcentral describes it as "partial 16S ribosomal RNA". It matches the Rfam family "Bacterial large subunit ribosomal RNA", at positions 1983 to 2598 of the family's 2925-position model. The record is from RNAcentral. Lineage: Eukaryota; Metazoa; Chordata; Lepidosauria; Squamata; Viperidae.
UAGACCCGUAUGAAAGGCAAAAUGAGGGUUCAACUGUCUCUUAUAAUACAUCAAUUAAACUGAUCUUCUAGUACAAAAGCUAGAAUACUAACAUAAGACCAGAAGACCCUGUGAAGCUUUAACUAAACUAUUAAACCACUUAAUAACUACUUUCGGUUGGGGCGACCUUGGAAUAAAAAAGAACUUCCAAAUAUCAACAUUACAUUAAAGGCAGACAAGCCCACAUAAGACCCAGCAUAGCUGACAAUUGAACCAAGUUACUCCAGGGAUAACAGCGCUAUCUUCUUCAAGAGCCCAUAUCAAAAAGAAGGUUUACGACCUCGAUGUUGGAUCAGGACAUCCUAGCAAUGCAACCGUUACUAAGGGUUCGUUUGUUCAACGAUUAAUAGUCCUA